GACGAAGGGGGCUAGCGUUGUUCGGAAUUACUGGACGUAAAGGGUGUGUAGGCGGUUGUUUAAGUUUGGUGUGAAAUCUCCCGGCUCAACUGGGAGGGUGCGCCGAAUACUGAAUGACUUGGAGUGCGGGAGAGGAAAGUGGAAUUCCUGGUGUAGCGGUGAAAUGCGUAGAGAUAUGGAGGAACACCAGUGGCGAAGGCGACUUUCUGGUCUGUAACUGACACUGAGGCGCGAAAGCGUGGGGAGCAAGCAGGG
This 255-nucleotide ribosomal RNA is filed under the name uncultured bacterium. Its description in RNAcentral is "partial 16S ribosomal RNA". It matches the Rfam family "Bacterial small subunit ribosomal RNA", at positions 524 to 777 of the family's 1533-position model. The record is from RNAcentral.